Molecule: long non-coding RNA, 276 nt
Filed under: Elaeis guineensis (African oil palm)
Lineage: Eukaryota; Viridiplantae; Streptophyta; Magnoliopsida; Arecales; Arecaceae
Description: long non-coding RNA (EGUI_LNC030373)
Source: RNAcentral
GCAUGCUCAUUUUAAAGUACAAGAAAAAAAACGUAAAACGUUCGAUGACAAAUAUAUAAACCUACAGAGAGGAUGAAUCAGGAUUCAGUAAUCCAAAUGUAUCAUGGGAUAAUGCUUGUUGGUAACAUUGUAGGGAGGGCCUAAAUAACUAAUAGUGGACAGUUGAGUCUUGGUGGCAAUACUGCGAUGGUAGGAUUCCACCAGAGAAAAUUGUAAAGAAAGUAAUCACGAAAAGUAUGCUCAUGUAUUUAGGCAUUUUCAUCUUCUACUGAUUAG